GGUGGUUCUUGGGUGAGCCCGGAAUCAGGCUCCCUCCUCUCUGGUUCUGGGAGUGUCACCCAAGAACCGCA
Myotis davidii is the source of this 71-nucleotide non-coding RNA. The record is from Rfam. NCBI's taxonomy places the organism in Eukaryota, Metazoa, Chordata, Mammalia, Chiroptera, Vespertilionidae.